UUGAACGCUGGCGGCAUGCCUUACACAUGCAAGUCGAACGGUAGAGGGGCAACCCUUGAGAGUGGCGAACGGGUGAGUAAUAUAUCGGAACGUGCCCAGUCGUGGGGGAUAACGCAGCGAAAGCUGCGCUAAUACCGCAUACGAUCUAAGGAUGAAAGCGGGGGAUCGCAAGACCUCGCGCGAUUGGAGCGGCCGAUAUCAGAUUAGGUAGUUGGUGGGGUAAAAGCCCCACCAAG
RNAcentral lists this ribosomal RNA (236 nucleotides) under uncultured bacterium. RNAcentral describes it as "partial 16S ribosomal RNA". It matches the Rfam family "Bacterial small subunit ribosomal RNA", at positions 30 to 272 of the family's 1533-position model. The record is from RNAcentral.